Molecule: ribosomal RNA, 314 nt
Filed under: uncultured soil bacterium
Lineage: Bacteria
Description: bacterial SSU rRNA
Rfam family: Bacterial small subunit ribosomal RNA
Source: RNAcentral
AGAACGAACGCUGGCGGCAUGCCUAACACAUGCAAGUCGAACGAGACCUUCGGGUCUAGUGGCGCACGGGUGCGUAACGCGUGGGAAUCUGCCCUUGGGUUCGGAAUAACAGCGAGAAAUUGCUGCUAAUACCGGAUGAUGACGUAAGUCCAAAGUAUUUAUCGCCCAAGGAUGAGCCCGCGUAGGAUUAGCUUGUUGGUGAGGUAAGAGCUCACCAAGGCGACGAUCCUUAGCUGGUCUGAGAGGAUGAUCACGCCACGACGUGGGACUGACGACACCGGCCAGACCUCCGUACGGGAGCAGCAGGUGGGAAU